Molecule: small nuclear RNA, 162 nt
Organism: Ochotona princeps (American pika)
Lineage: Eukaryota; Metazoa; Chordata; Mammalia; Lagomorpha; Ochotonidae
Product: U1 spliceosomal RNA
Exons: 1
Source: RefSeq, a predicted model, not a curated record
AUGCUUACCUGGCAGGGGAGAUACCAUGAUCAAAAAAAUAGUUUUCCCAGGACAAGACUCGCCCUUUGCACUCCGAGUGUGCUGACCUCUGCAGUUUCCUUAAAUGUGGGAAACUCAACUGCAUAAUUUGUGGUAGUGGGAGGCUGCGUUUGUAUUCUCCCU